UUAAUAUUCAUGAAUACGAAUGCUGCAGAUCAAAAUAAGUGGGAGGCAGCUCCUAGAUUUCUAGAUAACAAAAAAAGACUGGAGAUUGCCAGUACUCUUUGACUAAUGAAUUGUCAGAAAUUGGAAGACCCAGAGGAAGGGAGGGCAUGUUGCAGACAGUAAUGACAUGAGGAAGAAAAGGCAUAGGACCCAGACUUGGAUAGAUUCAGGAAGAUGUGAGUUUAAAUCUUUCCUCAGACACUUAAUGUCUAGUCACUUGAUCCCUCCGCCUCAGUUUCCUCUUUCCUCUUUCUCACAAAGUUAUUAUGAGGAAUAAAUAAGAUAACAUGUUUAAGUCACUUUGCAAACAAUGACCCAUAUAAAAGCUGGCUACUAUGAAAGUUUGCAUAAAAUGAAAAAAAGGACUUGAAAUGAUAUUUUUUAAUUUCAAAGAAAUUUUGAAUAAUUUAAUACAGUUUAUUUCAAGGUAAUAAUAUCAAUUCUGAAGUCAAAAUUCUUUUAUUUACAAAAUUGAAUGAAUCUUCAUUUCUGCAAGAGUGUUUGGCAUUUUAUCUGUUUAUUUGUGGCAAAAGUACUUUUAAAGAAAUUUACAAAUUUUGGUAAAGUUUAGUAUGCUAAAAAUAACAUAAAAAUUAAAAUAGUGGAUAAUUACAUAGUUUAUUUCCUUCUUUUUUUACCCCUCAGAUUCUACCUAUUUCUUCAAGUUUUACCCUUUUGGACCAAGCAGAACAAAACUAACCUGUCUUCAAUAUAAUUCUCUAACUACUAAAAGAGAAUUACCAUGUCUCUCUUAUGUCUUUUGUUCCUCAGGUUAAUUAAAUUUCCCCAAUUCCAUCCCGAGACCCUUCACUCUCUUGUUGCUCUCCUAUAGAUGUUCCCUAACUUAACAACGUUCCUCUGAAAAUGUAGAACCACAAACUAGACAAAAUUGCACAGAUGUGCUCUGACCAGAGUAUGCUAAGGCUGUUUGUUGCCUUCCUUGUCCUGGAUACUAUUUCUCUUGUUGCAACUUAAGUUUGUAUCAGGUUUUUCACUGUAAUAACACUGUUAACUCAUGGUAAGCUUGGAGUCUAUCAGAUAAACUAUUCUCUACCCACAGCAGAGUUUGAUCUAACAAUGGAACCUUGACAACACAUCGCUGAUAGGAAGGUUUGGGUUCAGAAUGUUCUUAAUAAGUCAUCCCUCUUCACUGAGAGGAACUUCAUCUAUAAAAUGAGGAAAAUGGACUGGAUGAUCCCUUAAGAGGCAGACUCUAGAUUGGAAGCUAAUCCAGGAAAGCCUGGAAGAACAAAAUCAGAAAGUGAUGAGUUGAUUCAUGGCUAUGGAUUAAAACUGAUAUUCUUGGAAUCCCAUGAAAGCUCCCAGAAUUGGUGGAAGGGGGGGGGACAUGUUAAGUCAAUAACUAUCCCUAGAUAAUGGAUUAGUGCUGAUCCUCCCCACACUAUCCUAUCAGCUCUGUGAUUCAUAAUAUAUGAAUUCAAAGGGAAUUCACAGAAUGAAACAAAGGACCUAACUGGGGAGCACCCUCCUUAUUAAAUUACCCUAAGAAUUCAA
Long non-coding RNA from Monodelphis domestica (gray short-tailed opossum), 1554 nucleotides. RefSeq lists it as uncharacterized. The record is from RefSeq and is a predicted model, not a curated record. Lineage: Eukaryota; Metazoa; Chordata; Mammalia; Didelphimorphia; Didelphidae.